This 501-nucleotide ribosomal RNA is filed under the name uncultured Sphingobacteriales bacterium. RNAcentral's name for it is "bacterial SSU rRNA". It matches the Rfam family "Bacterial small subunit ribosomal RNA", at positions 903 to 1382 of the family's 1533-position model. Lineage: Bacteria; Pseudomonadati; Bacteroidota; Sphingobacteriia; Sphingobacteriales. The record is from RNAcentral.
CGCCUUGCCAGCCCGCUCAGAACUUAAAGGAAUUGACGGGGCCCGCACAAGCGGUGGAGCAUGUGGUUAAUUCGAUGAUACGCGAGGAACUUACCUGGGCUCGAACGUAAGAUGACUGUAGGUGAAAGCUUACAUCUCUUCGGAGCAUUUUACGAGGUGCUGCAUGGUUGUCGUCAGCUCGUGCCGUGAGGUGUCGGGUUAAGUCCCAUAACGAGCGCAACCCCUACCUUUAGUUGCCAUCAGGUUAAGCUGGGGACUCUAAAGGAACUGCCUACGCAAGUAGUGAGGAAGGCGGGGAUGACGUCAAAUCAGCACGGCCCUUACGUCCAGGGCUACACACGUGCUACAAUGGCCGAUACAGAGGGCAGCUACCUGGUGACAGGAUGCAAAUCUCCAAAGUCGGUCUCAGUUCGGAUCGGAGUCUGCAACCCGACUCCGUGAAGUUGGAUUCGCUAGUAAUCGCGCAUCAGCCAUGGCGCGGUGAAUACGUUCCCGGGCCUU